GACGAACGCUGGCGGCGUGCUUAACACAUGCAAGUCGAGCGGUAAGGCCCUUUCGGGGGUACACGAGCGGCGAACGGGUGAGUAACACGUGGGUGACCUGCCCUUAGCUCUGGGAUAAGCCUGGGAAACUGGGUCUAAUACCGGAUAUGACUCCAUGACGCAUGUUGUGGGGUGGAAAGCCUUGUGCGGCUAGGGAUGGGCCCGCGGCCUAUCAGCUUGUUGGUGGGGUGAUGGCCUACCAAGGCGACGACGGGUAGCCGGCCUGAGAGGGCGACCGGCCACACUGGGACUGAGACACGGCCCAGACUCCUACGGGAGGCAGCAGUGGGGAAGUCUUGCGCAAUGGGCGAAAGCCUGACGCAGCGACGCCGCGUGAGGGAUGACGGCCUCGGUUGUAACC
Molecule: ribosomal RNA, 400 nt
Filed under: uncultured bacterium
Lineage: Bacteria
Description: bacterial SSU rRNA
Rfam family: Bacterial small subunit ribosomal RNA
Source: RNAcentral